RNAcentral lists this small RNA (82 nucleotides) under Aquimarina brevivitae. Its description in RNAcentral is "Flavo-1 RNA". It matches the Rfam family "Flavo-1 RNA". The record is from Rfam by way of RNAcentral. Lineage: Bacteria; Pseudomonadati; Bacteroidota; Flavobacteriia; Flavobacteriales; Flavobacteriaceae.
UAUCAGAUAGGGAUUGUAGUGGCAUCCUUGGCUUGACAACCUAAAGUGGCAAGACAAGAUACAACGGAAAGCCCGCAGACCU